RNAcentral lists this ribosomal RNA (253 nucleotides) under uncultured bacterium. Its description in RNAcentral is "partial 16S ribosomal RNA". It matches the Rfam family "Bacterial small subunit ribosomal RNA", at positions 524 to 776 of the family's 1533-position model. The record is from RNAcentral.
UACGUAGGGUGCUAGCGUUGUCCGGAUUUAUUGGGCGUAAAGGGCUCGUAGGCGGUUUGUCGCGUCUGCCGUGAAAGUCCGGGGCUCAACUCCGGAUCUGCGGUGGGUACGGGCAGACUAGAGUGAUGUAGGGGAGACUGGAAUUCCUGGUGUAGCGGUGAAAUGCGCAGAUAUCAGGAGGAACACCGAUGGCGAAGGCAGGUCUCUGGGCAUUAACUGACGCUGAGGAGCGAAAGCAUGGGGAGCGAACAGG